This 750-nucleotide ribosomal RNA is filed under the name uncultured bacterium. Its description in RNAcentral is "bacterial SSU rRNA". It matches the Rfam family "Bacterial small subunit ribosomal RNA", at positions 28 to 784 of the family's 1533-position model. The record is from RNAcentral.
GACGAACGCUGGCGGCGUGCCUAACACAUGCAAGUCGAACGGGGUCCAACCAGUAGCAAUACUGGGGAAGACCUAGUGGCGAACGGGUGAGUAACACGUGAGGAACCUGCCCCGAAGACCGGGAUAACCCUCCGAAAGGAGAGCUAAUACCGGAUACCUCCACCGGACCGCAUGAUCUGGUGAAGAAAUGGAUUCCGCUUCGGGAGGGCCUCGCGGCCUAUCAGCUUGUUGGUGGGGUAACGGCCCACCAAGGCUUCGACGGGUAGCUGGUCUGAGAGGACGAUCAGCCACACUGGGACUGAGACACGGCCCAGACUCCUACGGGAGGCAGCAGUGGGGAAUCUUGCGCAAUGGGCGAAAGCCUGACGCAGCAACGCCGCGUGGGGGAUGAAGGCUCUCGGGUCGUAAAACCCCUUUCAGCAGGGACGAAAACUGACGGUACCUGCAGAAGAAGCUCCGGCCAACUACGUGCCAGCAGCCGCGGUAACACGUAGGGAGCAAGCGUUGUCCGGAUUUAUUGGGCGUAAAGAGCUCGUAGGUGGUUCGGUAAGUCAGGUGUGAAACCUCCAGGCUCAACCUGGAGACGCCACUUGAUACUGCUGUGACUGGAGUCCGGUAGGGGGAGCGUGGAAUUCCUGGUGUAGCGGUGAAAUGCGCAGAUAUCAGGAGGAACACCAGCGGCGAAGGCGGCGCUCUGGGCCGGUACUGACACUGAGGAGCGAAAGCGUGGGUAGCAAACAGGAUUAGAUA